This 216-nucleotide ribosomal RNA is filed under the name Glomeromycotina sp. RNAcentral's name for it is "partial small subunit ribosomal RNA". The stretch from base 40 to 216 matches the Rfam family "Eukaryotic small subunit ribosomal RNA", at positions 686 to 864 of the family's 1831-position model. Lineage: Eukaryota; Fungi; Glomeromycota. The record is from RNAcentral.
GGGUCAUUAGGUUGGUCGUGCCACCGGUACGUACUGGUCUCACUGAUUCCUCCUUCCUGAAGAACCGUAAUGCCAUUAUUUUGGUGUUGCGGGGAAACAGGACUGUUACUUUGAAAAAAUUAGAGUGUUUAAAGCAAGCUAACGCUUGAAUACAUUAGCAUGGAAUAAUGAAAUAGGACGAUCGAUCCUAUUUUGUUGGUUUCUAGGAUUGACGUA